Molecule: non-coding RNA, 1292 nt
Filed under: Toxoplasma gondii VEG
Lineage: Eukaryota; Apicomplexa; Conoidasida; Eucoccidiorida; Sarcocystidae
Description: Bacterial large subunit ribosomal RNA
Rfam family: Bacterial large subunit ribosomal RNA
Source: Rfam by way of RNAcentral
UUUUAAAUUAUAGGAAAAAAAGGAUGUCUAGGUACUUUAAGACGAUGAAGGACGUAAAAAAUAUAUAUAUACGAAAAACUUAUUUAUAGCUUAUAUACUUUAAAUAAGAUCUCCGAAUAGGGAAACCUUUUAAUAUUUUUUAAAUUAAAAAUGAUUUACUUGAGGAACUGAAUCAUCUUAGUACUCAAAGGAAAAGAAAAUAACAAUUAUUCCCUUAGUAGUGGCGAACGAGUAGGGAUAAGAAACGUUAGACGUUUAGUUUAAAUAAAAAUAAAAUAAAGUAAAUAUAAACAACUGGUUUAUAUUGAAGAAACAAGAACUUCCUUGUAAAACUAAAUACUUUAAAGUAACCGAUAGUGUACUAGUACCGUGAGGGAAAGAUGAAAAGAACCCCGGGAGGGGAGUGAAAAGAGACUGAAAUUUUAAUCCUAACAACAAUAGAAGGGUAUAUGAACCUAACUAUUUGCCUGUUGAAGAAGGAACCGAUAAGUUUUGGUUUUUAAGCAAAAGGCUAAAAUUAAACUUGAAGCCAUAGUGAAAACGAGUUAUUACGAUUAGUAAUAGCGUUUGUAUAUAACCAAAAACCCGAAUCCAAUUGAUAUAACCUUGUUCAGAAUGAAAUAUAAAUAACUUUAUAUAGAAGUUCGAACUGAUUAAUGCUGCAAAAUUAUCAGAAGAAAUGAGGUUAGUUGUGAAAUGCUUGUCGAAUUUGGAGCUAGCUGGUUCUCCCCGAAAUGUAUUGAGGCGCAGCUAUUAUAAUAUAUAUAAAAAGGGUAAAGCACUGUUUUUAAAAUCACUAUAAACUAAUAAUAUUUUUAUAUUAACAUUAUAAUAAGUGAGACUUUUAGGGAUAAUCUUAUAAGUCAAAAGGGAAACAACCCAGACCAUAAACUAAGAUAAAAAUAUAACGAAAAUUUUAAAGGAUGUGGAGUUGUUACGUAUACAACCAGAAGGUUAGCUUAGAAGCAGUUUUCCUUUAAAAAGUGCGUAAAAGCUUACUGGUAAAGUAAUUCUGCACCUAAAAUGAACAAUAAAAUAUUUUUUUAUCGAAGUAAUGGGAUCUAUUAAUUAAAAAUAGAUCGGUAGGGGAGCGUUCUACAUUAAAAUAAAGCAAAGUUAUUAAAUUUUGUGAAUAAAGUAGAAGUGAGAAUGUCGGUUUAAGUAACUUAAAUAUUAAGAAGAAUCUAAUACCUCAAAAACUCAAAAGGUUCCUAUGAAAGGAUAAACCGCAUAGGGUUAGUCGGGGCCUAAGAUAAGAAAUUUAUUGUAAUUGAUGGGAAUCAAGUUAAUAU